GUGGGGUUGUGGCUCAGUGGUAGAGUGCUUGCCUCGCAGGUGUGAGACCCUGGGUUCAAGCCUCAGCACCACA
Molecule: transfer RNA, 73 nt
Filed under: Marmota monax (woodchuck)
Lineage: Eukaryota; Metazoa; Chordata; Mammalia; Rodentia; Sciuridae
Description: tRNA.Ala
Rfam family: tRNA
About the family: Transfer RNA (tRNA) molecules are approximately 80 nucleotides in length. Their secondary structure includes four short double-helical elements and three loops (D, anti-codon, and T loops).
Source: RNAcentral